This 369-nucleotide unclassified non-coding RNA is filed under the name fungal sp. RNAcentral's name for it is "partial internal transcribed spacer region". The stretch from base 1 to 46 matches the Rfam family "Eukaryotic small subunit ribosomal RNA", at positions 1786 to 1831 of the family's 1831-position model. Lineage: Eukaryota; Fungi. The record is from RNAcentral.
AAGUCGUAACAAGGUUUCCGUAGGUGAACCUGCGGAAGGAUCAUUAACACGUAUCCAACGUUAAACAACCCUGUGAACUUUCAGCGCUCUUGUAGCCCCAGAGGAACAGCAAUCCCGGUAAAUCAAAUGGCGGAAAGAGUUUUGAUUCGGGACCUCUGUCCAAAAGGUAUCAAGUUACAAUCGAGCAGAGCAGUGCAGAAGGAUCCACUGAGUAAGGAUAACGCAUCACGGUUGCCAGAGGUCGAUCACCGGCCGGCAGACAUGUCACAGGGCUUUACGCCCCUUCAUUCACCCCUUGCCUAAUCAAGCCUCGCGGAAACGCCGGGCAUAAAAACCGAACAACUGUUAACAAUGGAUAUCUUGGUUCUC